GAGCAUAGCUUGGGCAAAGGCACAGAAAAGUGAGAGGGCAUGUGACAUCCUGGGAAUUACAUAAAGCUCUUUUUGGCAUCUGGGAGUGAGGAAGAGGAAGGAGAGGAGGCUGGGGAGAAAGAAGUAGAUGUGCUACCAGCUGAGACUUCAGUCACAGACUUCACUUCACCGAUGCCUCAGGGAACAUGGAGCUUCAGGGAAGAGCUCAGAGCCCUGAGGAACCCUGAGGAGCCCAUGGGGCAGGGGCAGGGGCAGGGAGGAGGAGGAGACCGCAGGAGACCGAAAAGCAUCAACUCGAGAGGAGGAGGAAACUAGAAUUGAGGGUUUCCAGGAGGAGAAGAAAGCAAGACCCAUUCUCCCCAUCCUAAAAGGCCCACAUCCAACAUCACAUUCUCCAGGAAGCUGCCCCUGCUGCCCCCGCCUUCCUCUGAGUGCCCUCCACUGGUCCCAUGGCUCUGUAACAACGACAGUUGGUUCCUGUUCGUGCUCCACAUUUCAGUAAAUCAUGAGGCCUGGGAGUACAGUUGACUCCUGUCUGCCUCCUCAACCAUGCCUGGAACAGAGGAUGGAUGCACUCCCAUGCGGCUCAGAGAGGAAUAAAGAUAUAGAAGAUGGCCAGCACCCGGGUCCGCUGGUCCCUCACGAAGAGGUCGCCCAGGAUGGUGGGCGCGAUGGUGGAG
Hipposideros armiger (great roundleaf bat) is the source of this 680-nucleotide long non-coding RNA. RefSeq lists it as uncharacterized. Lineage: Eukaryota; Metazoa; Chordata; Mammalia; Chiroptera; Hipposideridae. The transcript has 3 exons. The record is from RefSeq and is a predicted model, not a curated record.